UUGUUUUGAAAUUUACAGUUA
This 21-nucleotide non-coding RNA is filed under the name Caenorhabditis elegans. The record is from RNAcentral. Lineage: Eukaryota; Metazoa; Nematoda; Chromadorea; Rhabditida; Rhabditidae.